UACUGGGACCCUUCUAACCAGUGAAUUAUUCUCCACCCAGUGAUUCUUCCCGACUGAGGCCAAGAGAUUUCUGGAGCCUCUUGUCAUGGGUCAGCAACAUCCCAUGAGUGACCCCGAAGUGGGGGUUUCUAAGUCCCUCAGGCAAAGACAAAGCAGAUGAGCCUCGCUCUGGGGAGAAGCACAAGAGUGUGCCCACCAUGGCUGUGCCCAGAUGCUGAGGGCUGGCCAGACUGGGGCCAGCUGGAAUUCUAGACUUUGUACUUGGUGUGAGUCAUACCAAAACUGUCCAGGUGAAGAGCUCCCCCUGAAGACAGCCGGUCUACCUGUGGGCCAAGUGGCCCAUUCCUGUUGCCUUGCAAAUGACCACAGCCUGUCAGGGCAAGUGAGGGUCACAGACUGGAGCCAAAGGAAGUCAGGCGCCUCAUAGGAGGAUAAGCAAGUGAACCCAGUCAAGAAGGUCACUCUGUGGAGCUGGCAAGGUUCCCUGAUGGUGACCAGUGGCCAUGGCGGAGUGUGGAGGUGAAGUUACAGAUUUUCCUUAGCAGAGCUG
Molecule: long non-coding RNA, 550 nt
Organism: Lontra canadensis (Northern American river otter)
Lineage: Eukaryota; Metazoa; Chordata; Mammalia; Carnivora; Mustelidae
Exons: 2
Source: RefSeq, a predicted model, not a curated record